Molecule: ribosomal RNA, 414 nt
Filed under: uncultured prokaryote
Description: partial 16S ribosomal RNA
Rfam family: Bacterial small subunit ribosomal RNA
Source: RNAcentral
GUGUCAGCCGCCGCGGUAAUACGGAGGGGGCUAGCGUUGUUCGGAAUUACUGGGCGUAAAGCGCGCGUAGGCGGUUUGCCAAGUCAGAGGUGAAAGCCCGGGGCUUAACCUCGGAAUUGCCUUUGAGACUGGCAGGCUUGAGUACGGGAGAGGUAAGUGGAAUUCCGAGUGUAGAGGUGAAAUUCGUAGAUAUUCGGAAGAACACCAGUGGCGAAGGCGGCUUACUGGACCGUUACUGACGCUGAGGCGCGAAAGCGUGGGGAGCAAACAGGAUUAGAUACCCUGGUAGUCCACGCCGUAAACGAUGGGUGCUAGAUGUUGGGGGCCUUUGGCUUCCGGUGUCGCAGCUAACGCGUUAAGCACCCCGCCUGGGGAGUACGGCCGCAAGGUUAAAACUCAAAUGAAUUGACGGGG